ACGAACGCUGGCGGCGUGCUUAACACAUGCAAGUCGAACGGAAAGACCCUGCUUUUGUGGGGUGCUCGAGUGGCGAACGGGUGAGUAACACGUGAGUAACCUGCCCUUGACUUUGGGAUAACUUCAGGAAACUGGGGCUAAUACCGGAUAGGAGCUCCUGCUGCAUGGUGGGGGUUGGAAAGUUUCGGCGGUUGGGGAUGGACUCGCGGCUUAUCAGCUUGAUGGUGGGGUAGUGGCUUACCAAGGCUUUGACGGGUAGCCGGCCUGAGAGGGUGACCGGCCACAUUGGGACUGAGAUACGGCCCAGACUCCUACGGGAGGCAGCAGUGGGGAAUAUUGCACAAUGGGCGGAAGCCUGAUGCAGCAACGCCGCGUGCGGGAUGACGGCCUUCGGGUUGUAAACCGCUUUCGCCUGUGACGAAGCGUGAGUGACGGUAAUGGGUAAAGAAGCACCGGCUAACUACGUG
RNAcentral lists this ribosomal RNA (467 nucleotides) under uncultured bacterium. RNAcentral describes it as "partial 16S ribosomal RNA". It matches the Rfam family "Bacterial small subunit ribosomal RNA", at positions 29 to 507 of the family's 1533-position model. The record is from RNAcentral.